This 253-nucleotide ribosomal RNA is filed under the name uncultured bacterium. RNAcentral's name for it is "partial 16S ribosomal RNA". It matches the Rfam family "Bacterial small subunit ribosomal RNA", at positions 524 to 776 of the family's 1533-position model. The record is from RNAcentral.
UACGUAGGGUGCGAGCGUUAAUCGGAAUUACUGGGCGUAAAGCGUGCGCAGGCGGUUUUGUAAGCCAGAUGUGAAAUCCCCGGGCUUAACCUGGGAAUGGCAUUUGGGACUGCAGAUCUGGAGGAUUGGAGGGGGGACUGGAAUUCUUGGUGUAGCAGUGAAAUGCGUAGAUAUCAAGAGGAACACCAGUGGCGAAGGCGAGUCCCUGGACAAUACCUGACACUGAGGCACGAAAGCCAAGGGAGCAAACAGG